UUUGUUUGAGUCAAGUAGAAAAAGACAUGAAUAAU
Molecule: small RNA, 35 nt
Filed under: Arabidopsis thaliana (thale cress)
Lineage: Eukaryota; Viridiplantae; Streptophyta; Magnoliopsida; Brassicales; Brassicaceae
Description: ATSL230850
Source: RNAcentral